This 1159-nucleotide long non-coding RNA is filed under the name Phoenix dactylifera (date palm). RNAcentral describes it as "long non-coding RNA (PDAC_LNC009985)". Lineage: Eukaryota; Viridiplantae; Streptophyta; Magnoliopsida; Arecales; Arecaceae. The record is from RNAcentral.
AGGUAUAUAUAUUUAUAGAACUCAAUUUCUUAAUCAUAGUUUUUUAGCAAUGUAUACAUGAAGCACAAUAAAUCUUUUCAAUAUCAAAAUAAAAUAAUAUAUUUAAAAAUAUUUGUUUGCAAUCAAGAUCAUCGAAAGACACAUCAUUUAGACCAAUAUUAGUACACUUUAAAGAUAAGAAAUGAUAUGUUUCAGAUGCGUAUCGGGGCAAACAAUCAAGGCAUCAGAAUUAUUCUAUUUUUCUUAAACUGUAGUCUUUAUCUAGAAAUCAUAUUGAGUUUAAGCUUUUAUACAAAAUCAGAUUCUGAAUUUCAUAGUGAUUUUUAAUAGAGGCUUUCAAAAUUAUAAUUUGAGAUAUGUAUCUUCCACAUUGUAGCUCAUCUUAAAUCAUUACGAUUGAAAACACAUAUUUCAAACAUAUAAGAGCAUAUUCAGAAUAUUUGUAUUUAUGUUGAGUUUUGGUAUGAAUUAGAACAUUAUAUACCAAAGUUAGGCAAGUUGAAAGAUAAAACAAAAUCAAUUCAUUUUGCCUAAAUAGAGAUAUACUUCUCUUCUCCUUUUUACAAAUUUAUUCAACUUUCAGAUUUCAAAGAUGAUUGUGAACGACAAAUCUAAAAUUUCUUUUCAAUAAUACCAUAAAAUAACUUCAUAUAGUAUUUUAAACAUUCAAUCAAAUUAUCCAAGCAUGGNNNNNNNNNNNNNNNNNNNNNNNNNNNNNNNNNNNNNUCAUGCCACAUGCAAAAUAUAUUAUGUGUUAAGUCAUGCAUUAAAAUAUUAAGAACAAGCAUGUUAAUUGUUGCCCAGUGAUGGUCACCCAAGAGGGGGGUGAAUUGGGUGUUUUAAAAACUUUUGACUAAUUAAAAUAAAACACACGAAUAUAUGCACUAAGGUAAAGAAGGAGGAAUGAGAAAGGUCAAUCGCAAACACAAGGUUUUAUAGUGGUUCGGAGCUUCCACUGCUCCUGCAUCCACUCCCCAAAUCACCUUUGAGAAUUUCCACUAUAAUCCACGAUUACAGUACGGUAGUUUUGCGAGUUCACUACCCAACUCGUUGUUUUACACCGGGCUCACAACAAACCCUAAAACCCCCAAUUUCACUUAGGCUUGGGACGCCUUUUCCUUGUUCCAAGUCCCUUGACUGGAACAAGCACCACAAUGAA